UCCAUACUUUGGCUGAAGGACUCUAAGCAGCUAUCUUCGACACUUUCAACAUUAACAAACAAAGAGUCUCGGGUGGUAAAUUUCAAAGAUUGGCAAGUUGCUCAAGGAAGACGAUUUAGAUCUUUAAAGCUGUGGUUUAUGAUGCGCUUGUAUGGAGCCUCGGGACUUCGUAGCCACAUAAGAACUCACAUAAACCAUGCUAAGCAU
Selaginella moellendorffii is the source of this 207-nucleotide long non-coding RNA. RefSeq lists it as uncharacterized. Lineage: Eukaryota; Viridiplantae; Streptophyta; Lycopodiopsida; Selaginellales; Selaginellaceae. The transcript has 4 exons. The record is from RefSeq and is a predicted model, not a curated record.